Non-coding RNA from Ictidomys tridecemlineatus (thirteen-lined ground squirrel), 2775 nucleotides. The record is from RefSeq and is a predicted model, not a curated record. Lineage: Eukaryota; Metazoa; Chordata; Mammalia; Rodentia; Sciuridae.
UCUCUGAGAGCCCCCUCCCCAGCAGCUCCCACGUGGCCUGUCUUCCGGCAGCUGGCGGGGAGGGGGUGUGAGGAGGGGCUUGGCUGCCUUCCUCCCGCAAAGGCCCGGCUCCCCACCCCCAUGCUGCUGGCUGGGACUGUGUGGGGCGCCCGAGCUGCCCCUCCCGGCAGCACUAGGUAAGGACAGCUGGAGCCAGGCCGGUGGCUGGACGCCGGUGGUCAGACAAGCUGCUGGCAACCAGACGCCGAGACGGGGUCACAGCAGACCCCCGGGGCCAGGUCACUGCUUCACAGAGGGGACGUCCAGGCAGCAGGCUGGGCUCCUUCUGCUGGGAUGCAAUUGUCCUGGGAGUCGGGUGCCAGGUGAUGUGUGGGAUGAGGACAUUGGCCCCAACAGCAGGAAACACGAUGUGGCCCCAGCCUGACACUCCCCAGGGGCCUGAGGGCAUGGAUGCUCACACCAGGUGGGGACCUGGGUAUCUGCCACAGGGGGAUGGGACCAGAGUCCUGGCUUAAGGUGCCCCCAUGGCCAGCAGUCGCUCUGGACACAGUGCCUGUAGGUAGUGCCCCUAGGUCCCACAGGAGCGCCAUACAAUGGCCUCAGGCUGUCCAGAAGAUGGGUUCAGAUGGAGAUACUAAGGACCUGAGCGGGGCGCCCUCUCGUAGCCCUGGGCCCUGAGGGCACUCACACACACAUGUCCCCCCACAGCUCGACAGGAGUAGGGUCUCACAAAGCACCCAGCCCGCAGCCUGGAGAGGCUGGCCAGCCACUGGGCUUUGAAAGCGAGGCUGUCUGGGCCCUUUCUCUUCCCUGGCAUCUUGGCCGGGCCUCCCACGGGCCCCUGCCCGACGUCUCCCGCCCCUGGGCCCAAACCUGGCAAAGAGGCCACACUGGGCUGGCAGCUUCAGAAGGGACUCUGUGCACAAUCCCAGCCUGUUGGCCUGACCACCGCGCAGGGAAGCCGGAGUGCGGGGAAGCCGUUCCAGGCCACUGAGAGGCCUGCCUGGCCGAGGUGUUACCCCUCUGCUGGGCGUGGGAAGACACUGACAUACUGAGGGAACAGGUCCCUCCCUGCCUGCCCAGAGGCUGCCUCGCUCAGCGGGGCCCAGUGAGGGGAACUGGGGUCCGGGGAAGGGGUGUAUGACCCUGAUGAGGCCACCAGCCUCUUCCUAUUUCACCUGCGUGGCCUCUGGGCAGCAACUCCAGGCCAACCCUGCAGGAAGCCCACCAGAGCCUUCUCUCUCCUCUGAGUAGCAGCUCCCAGUGGAGUGCUGGCCCAGGAGGCCAAGUGAGGGGACACUGGCUCCCCAGGCCUGGAACAGCCUCUGAAGCUCCCAUGUGAGUGUCCUGCCUCGCUCGGAAGCCUGGGACAGGGUGCCCCCAUAUCUGGGGCCUGGGCCUGGCAUGGAGCUGCUGAACAGGGUUUCCUGGGCCAAUCUGGAGCCGGAUCAGACGAGGAAUUCCACAGCCGGCGGAGCGGAGCCAGGCUUAAUGCUGAGCAAACCGCCUCCCUCCCUCCCGCAGCCCCUCCACAGCCCGCCCUCGCCCAGGGCUGCCACAGCCAGAGCCCAAUUAUGGCCUCUGACCAGCCCCUGGCUCCUGAGGGGGCGCAGCUGAUGCUCACUGGGCCCAGGGCGCCUCCAGUCCCGCCUGGACGGUGAGUGGCUGGCGGCCUGCUGCCCUCCUGCUAGGAGGGGCAGCAGCUGGACCCCUGGGGGACUCACUGUCCCCCGGAAGGCUGCUCUCUGGCCCUCCCUCCAGCAGCUGCCCAUCAUCUGGCCCUACACCAUUUCCCUGCCCAGUCCCUAGGGCUGGACUAAGGCUGGUGUCCCUGUCCUGUGUCAGUCCACGGACUCCUGGCUUCACCUUCCCCUGCUCAAUCGCACUAGCAGGUUCCUGGAGCACCCUGCCUGUAACCACCUUGCAGCUCUGAGUGCAGGGCUGGGGUGUAGCUCGCUGGGUGUCAAGGAGGAACAGGGCAGGGCUGCCUCAGGAGGAGGGGGCUGCAGGGAGGGCAACCUGGACAUGGUGGACAGGUUCUGGGGUCCCCCCUUUGAUUCAUAACAGAAGGGGUAGUUGCCCACCCUGCUGAGCUCUGGGGAGGCUCCUGGUGCACAGGUGGGCUGGCGGCAUCACCCCCACCCCAGUUCUGCUACAUGGCCCACUCUCUGCCCUUCACACCUUUUCCCUUCCCCAGGACACCAUUCCUACCACAGGGCCUUUCUGCUGCUCCUCCUGGAAUUCUCCACCCCACAGUUUUGCAUGUGGGUUCUAUCUUCAGACCCAGACAAAAAAGCACCCUCCUCCAAGAAGCCCACCUUGUCCAGCCCCAUGUGCCACACAGCCCAUUUCUCCAUGAUGCUUGUCCCUCACGGCAACCCACUGGUGUGUGCACGUGCCUGUCUGUCUCUGGCUUCUGGAGGGUACAGGUCGUGAGCUCCAGCAGGACCCUGCCUAGCGCGGGGCCUGAGACCUGGGAGGUACGUACUUGGGGCGUGAGUCAGAGAACAAGUGAUCUUCAGAAUCCCUGCUGAAGCUGAAAGCAGAGAACUGGCCUCGGGUUACACGAUCCCACCACAUCUGGUGCCCAAUUCUUCUCACUGAAUUAACCAGCUGUUUCGGAGUCAUGCAUAACCCGGCUGAUUACGUUCACUUUUGAAGGUUGAUUUGAGUUAAAGGAAGAGAACUGAGCUCAGUACCAGACCAUGCACCCAGAGGGUGGGGAGGGGAAAGAUCAGCUUCACCACUGCCCCGAACAAAGCUGUGUCCCACGAA